CCCGCCUUCGAGGGCGAAGGGUGAGGCAAGAGAUGUGUCGCGUUUUUUAAAGAGGCCCGAGAAUAUACCGGUCAUGGAGGAGAAGGAGGGAUGAGAGAUGGAGAAAAAGGAAAAGAGUCAUGGAGCCCACUCCUCCCUCCCACUGGCCCCGUUCUGCUGGGCCCAGGUAGCUGCCAGCCCACAGGUCUUUGGACCCAUUCAGCCUGGACCAUGAAGCACAUUCAGCUCUAUGAGGCCACCUACUGCCCUGCAGAACAAUACUGCACCAGCACAGACGUGCCACAUUAGCAUUCUGGGCGUCAGCUAAUUCGUGGCCCACGACUUUCUUCCUCUUUGCUUUUUUUUUUUUAAAUCACGAGAAGACUAGGUCUGUGAAAAAACACAAGAGCGGCAUGUUGAAUCUGGAUAUUUCUUAAAGCCGAUUUGACAAAUAAUUGCAGCUGAAUUUUUUUUUUGAUAAAACACGAAACAUCCUGACAACAUCCUUUCCUUCGAGCAGUUCUCCAGCCUACAUGAUAACCGUGUAAAUCGUGUUUGCACCAUUCCUCCAAAUGCAUGUGUAAGACAGAAACCCAUCUGGGCACUGGGCAAAGACAAGGCUGAGAACCUCCCCCUAGAUGGAAGCGCACUUUAAAAAACAGACCUGUGGUCAGUGAUCCCUCUGCAUACCUGUCUCUUGAGGCCCGUCGACUUCUCCGGCGCGUUCUCCUCAAACUUGGCCAGCAGCUGGUUGGCCAUCACCUUGACCUUGUUGUCCCGGCCCCCCGCCGUGGCCGAGGGGUCCACCCUCCUGUCCGUCAGGGUGGUGGAGGGCGACGGCCUGUCGUCAGGCCCCGUCCUCACCUGAUCCUCCUGGGAGGGGGGGGGGGGGGGGGGGGGAGGAAAACCGUUGGGAAUCGGAAGGUGUCGGCUAGACUUACUUUAGCACGCUCACUGGAACGGAAUAACUAAGCCGUGUCCACUUACGUCUUCAGAAUUCCCCGCCUGGAUGGUUUUUCUCCUCUUCCCCAAACCGUCCGUUUCCUUCUCCUUUUUGUCCUGUGGUGGACAUGCGAGAGGAUAUUUUUAGUGAGUUGGUUACUUAAAUUGCAGCCACGGUGGUUAGUGGAUGACUCAGUGUUCCUAAACGGGGGCUGAUGCGAGGUCUCCUGACCUUGGGGUUGCGUUUCCUGGAGAUGGCGAUGCUCUGGCCAAGCUUGCUGAGGAAGGAGAUGGGCGACUUGGUGCUCGCGAUCAACGCCGUCUUGUCCUCUGGACUCAGGUUGGGGUUAUCUGGAAUAACGUACAGGAAUGGGCACGAGUACUUGAAUGAUGACGGAAAUACAGGAAUUUCAGUUCAAGAAGGACCUAACUCUAAAUAAAAAAAUAUAUAUACGUUCUACAAACUAAAAUGACUUCCAUGAAAACUAUUUUUUUGUUUAAUUAGUAUCUGAAUCAUAUUCUUUAUUCUAUAGAAGAGGUAGUCUUAUAAGUGACGUUUCUGUCCCACUCCUCGUCUUGCAACCCCAUGGUUAAUUAAUUCUAUUCUUUCAUUCUCUCAAUUGAAAAGCACAUACACUUAAUUAAAUAAAGACCCACAUGACAAAUACCAUUAAAGGGGCCAUGGCUAUGAAACCAAAUCGAGGCUGCUGCACCGACGCAAACUCACCUCCGGGUGGCACUGUGUCCUUAAACAUCUCGUAGAACUGGCUGAUGUACAUGACCAUGGAGAGCUUAUCGGGCUCUGCCACGGAGGUCAUCUCCUUGCCCGUCAUGCAGGGGGAGAUGCCAAACUCCCGCUCUGCCACGUCGAACGCCAACUGAUUGUUCCUCUCCUGGUUCCGCUCAUCUAACGAGUCGUAUUCCCUGAGGCCAAGGAAAGAAAAACAAGCAGAGGGAACAAGAGGAGAAAAACAUAUUUAAUCAGAGAAGGGGGCUAGUUUCUCUAGGCAAGAAUCUGAACAAGCGAACACAUCAUGUCAAACAAAUGACAUGUAUUCUUUUGAUUGUUCUAUGCUCAACUAAUAUUUUCGUGACAAUUAUAUUACUGAUGCUAUAAACAUACAUACAUAUAAACAGACGAUGUGCAUUGCAUUUGUAGCAGAGACGUGUAUUCAGAGCAGUUUGUUCAACAUGAAAUGUAUACUAUAAUUAUCUCACACACACACACACACACACACACACACACACACACACACACACACACACACACACACACACACACACACACACACACACACACACACACACACACACACACACACACACACACACACACACACACACC
This is a long non-coding RNA of Gadus macrocephalus (Pacific cod), 2266 nucleotides long. RefSeq lists it as uncharacterized. NCBI's taxonomy places the organism in Eukaryota, Metazoa, Chordata, Actinopteri, Gadiformes, Gadidae. The record is from RefSeq and is a predicted model, not a curated record. The transcript is spliced from 2 exons.